GACGAACGCUGGCGGCGUGCCUGACACAUGCAAGUCGGACGGUUCUUGUACCUUCAAGCUUGCUUGUUGGUGCAAGGAUAGUGGCGGACGGGUGAGUAACGCGUGAACAUCUACCCAUUGGAGGGGGACAACCCGUCGAAAGGCGGGCUAAUACCGCGUAAGCCGCGAGGUGAGAGGCUGCCUAUUGGUGGCCGCCGAUGGAUGGGUUCGCGUCCUAUCAGCUGGUUGGUGGGGUAACGGCCUACCAAGGCGAAGACGGGUAGCCGGUCUGAGAGGAUGGCCGGCCACACUGGAACUGAGACACGGUCCAGACUCCUACGGGAGGCAGCAGUGGGGAAUAUUGGACAAUGGAUGGAAAUCUGAUCCAGCCAUGCCGCGUGCAGGAAGACGGCCCUAUGGGUUGUAAACUGCUUUUAUAUGGGAGCAAUAAGGUUUAACGCGUAGACCGAUGAGAGUACCAUAUGAAUAAGCAUCGGCUAACUCCGUGCCAGCACG
This 495-nucleotide ribosomal RNA is filed under the name uncultured bacterium. RNAcentral describes it as "bacterial SSU rRNA". It matches the Rfam family "Bacterial small subunit ribosomal RNA", at positions 28 to 515 of the family's 1533-position model. The record is from RNAcentral.